UUGACGGUCUACACCUUUAAGACGUCGAAACUGUGCGUACUGGGAGUGGGCAUAUGUUCAACUGUAAAAUCACAACAACACAUCGCAAUUGGGGGGUAUGUGAAGAGGACUCUCUUCAGUGACCGCUAGUUAUAGAAAAGGUUUGAAAUAAUGUACACCAAUAUUUUACCUGAUUAACUGAAAAGUGAAUCAUACUGAAAGAAUAUUGAUGGGGAAAUGCAUUUGGGAUAAGUUUUGCGCAAUGGUCGAGCAAGCGUCUUGAUCUGCAGACGUCAACAAAUUUAGUGUGACAGUUUCACGAGCUGAUAUUUUUCGUUUUGAUAUGCCUCUAGAAUUUUGUAAUUUAAUAGUCUGACAUUUAUGGCAGAAAUGUGUUGUGGAUCAGCAGGGAUACUGUGCCGGCAAAAUGUGAAAUAUGUAUUCAGUUGAUUUUUAUGAGUUUUGUUAUGUACCACAUUCUCCAUUUUAACUACGUCUUUAGCCAAGAACAACGACAUUUAUCUCAUCAACACUAAAAUAUCUGCCGGUAUCCUGCAUGCUGUACUGUUGUGGAAGCAAGGACAAGGAGAAGCAGCGCUCGGACGCUGCUGAGGUGUCGAGAAUUCUAGAGACAGAGAAAAACCGAAAGAACCGUGAAAGCUCACCACAACCACUGGAAAUGUACGGAAUAGCGGGAAUACCCGAGUUUCUACCCCCCUCUGGUGUACUCCAGCCCAGCUCAGUAAUCCCACUCGAGUCUGGUGAGGUGCCUGGUUUGGGGAGUCGAUUCAACAGGGGUGUGCUGAGCUUUGACUCCCCCCAGCGGAGACGAGGCCAACGGGCCCCGAAGCUAGGGCAAAUAGGACGUUCGAAGAGAGUGGUGAUAGAGGAUGAGGACUUGGAUGACGUCAUGAACAACAAUGGCCUCCCCAUAUCAAUCAAUAUCUCUCCUGUUGCCUAA
This 940-nucleotide long non-coding RNA is filed under the name Oncorhynchus kisutch (coho salmon). Its description in RNAcentral is "lncRNA (ENSOKIG00005033244.1)". Lineage: Eukaryota; Metazoa; Chordata; Actinopteri; Salmoniformes; Salmonidae. The record is from RNAcentral.